RNAcentral lists this ribosomal RNA (760 nucleotides) under Kocuria sp. Its description in RNAcentral is "bacterial SSU rRNA". It matches the Rfam family "Bacterial small subunit ribosomal RNA", at positions 62 to 831 of the family's 1533-position model. Lineage: Bacteria; Bacillati; Actinomycetota; Actinomycetes; Micrococcales; Micrococcaceae. The record is from RNAcentral.
UCGAACGCUGAAGCACCAGCUUGCUGGUGUGGAUGAGUGGCGAACGGGUGAGUAAUACGUGAGUAACCUGCCCUUGACUCUGGGAUAAGCCCGGGAAACUGGGUCUAAUACUGGAUGCUACAUGUCACCGCAUGGUGGUGUGUGGAAAGGGUUUACUGGUCUUGGAUGGGCUCACGGCCUAUCAGCUUGUUGGUGAGGUAAUGGCUCACCAAGGCGACGACGGGUAGCCGGCCUGAGAGGGUGACCGGCCACACUGGGACUGAGACACGGCCCAGACUCCUACGGGAGGCAGCAGUGGGGAAUAUUGCACAAUGGGCGAAAGCCUGAUGCAGCGACGCCGCGUGAGGGAUGACGGCCUUCGGGUUGUAAACCUCUUUCAGCAGGGAAGAAGCCACAAGUGACGGUACCUGCAGAAGAAGCGCCGGCUAACUACGUGCCAGCAGCCGCGGUAAUACGUAGGGCGCAAGCGUUGUCCGGAAUUAUUGGGCGUAAAGAGCUCGUAGGCGGUUUGUCGCGUCUGCUGUGAAAGCCCGGGGCUUAACCCCGGGUGUGCAGUGGGUACGGGCAGACUAGAGUGCAGUAGGGGAGACUGGAAUUCCUGGUGUAGCGGUGGAAUGCGCAGAUAUCAGGAGGAACACCGAUGGCGAAGGCAGGUCUCUGGGCUGUUACUGACGCUGAGGAGCGAAAGCAUGGGGAGCGAACAGGAUUAGAUACCCUGGUAGUCCAUGCCGUAAACGUUGGGCACUAGGUGUGGGGGACA